Long non-coding RNA from Dalotia coriaria, 2071 nucleotides. RefSeq lists it as uncharacterized. NCBI's taxonomy places the organism in Eukaryota, Metazoa, Arthropoda, Insecta, Coleoptera, Staphylinidae. The transcript has 4 exons. The record is from RefSeq and is a predicted model, not a curated record.
UUUUUAAAAAUUGCCACAAAAUUACAAGGCUUCUUAUGAGAAUUUGAAGAAAAUUAAAGAAAUUCAUCGUGAGUGGUAUCAAAGUGUAACAAAUCACGCGCUCUUUCCAACGGUGCCUAACACGAGUCGUUUAGUGGAGGGGUUUGGGAGUAAUUCACCACGAAAGUUUCAGUCCGUCACGAGUCGUCAACCGAAAAAAAGCACAUGCUGUCAAGUGAUACUUUUGUGAAUUUCUCUUCAACCACACAUUAAGACCAAAAUCUGACCACGGCAUCGUGUUCCUCGGGUCCGAUUACACCCCAGAAACUGUUAUUUCUUCGAAAAUCGCUUUAAUUAAUAGUUUUUCACGUGUCCGAAAAUAUCAAGUGAAACAGUGAGUUUGCAGGAAGAUUACGUCUUUCCUGCUGAAUAAAAUGCAAUCACACCUGCGGCAAUCAACAGGCCAGCUUAUAAACUAUAGAUUUUGAUAACUUUCAAGUUGUGAUACGUUUUGUGGAUGCUGUGAUUGACUUCAAAACACAUGACACACAAAAACCUUAAUCAACCACCUGUUUGGGCCCCCUUACAAGUUGAUUUAACAUCUGCACAAGCCAAAUACAACUGAGAUUUAUUGUUAUUAACAUUGGCUAAGUGCUCAGUGCAUUUGUUAGGAUUUUCUAGUUUUUCAAGUCUAUUGAAGGAUUAUUUCAUCUAGAAACUGUUUAAGGAUGGAUUAGGAAUAGUUAACGAAUGUUUCUCAAUGUGAUAUUGUUCAGAAUAUUCAUGAUUUUUCAUACUACAGGAUAUUAUCUUUUGUUUGUGAGUUGGAAAACCCACUGGAAUCAAGCAAACCAGUUGGUGUUCCUAUUGGUGCUGAUAACAAUACAAGAACAGAGGAAUAUACAGUUUUGAAUGCUGCAACAUGUUAGACUGGUCUAGAAAAUUUGGUGGUAUAGGUUAAUGGAUUAGGUCUGGUUAGAGGUGUAACAUAAUAUUGGUGAUAACUUUGGAAUGAGAAGGAAUUAUGCAAUUUUGACUGCAGAAGAUUAAUCAGAAGGUCUAAUUACCGCUAUAGACAUGUUUUAUAAAGCAGGAAUCAUAACAGGAAUAGCAAAUAAAUCAAAGCCUGCAAUGAAGAGGAUUGAAUAUGGAAGUUAACAAUAACAUAAUAUGCAGCACAAUUUAAUUAUGUUUCAAUUGAUAUAAAAUUUAUUUAAUUUGGAUGAUAAUUAUGCAAGUUGUAAGGAAAAGAAGAAACAAAAACAGGAAAAGCAAAAAUGUGUCAUCAUUCUAAUUACAUACACAUUUCAAAGCAAGCCAGUCAACCGUAGGAUUGAAGAAAAAUUAUACUGAAAACAUCUUAAGGACAAGUGAAUUCUGUAUUAUUUGAUAUAAGAUUUGUUUAAAUUGAAUGAAAAUUAAGAAAGUUAUGAGGAAAAUAAGAAACAAAAGCAGAAAAAGCAUAAAUUCAUCACCAGAUACCAAGGAAAAACAUGAUGCUUAGACAAAUAUCUUGGCAGUGCUCAUAAAACCUUAUGAAAGGUGAUGUUAGAGACGAGUUUAGCUUGUUUAUACAGUAAAUAAUAACAUAGUCAAGUAGAAGAGACCAGUCAACCAGCUAUUUCAAGGGUGUUCAUUGGUUCAAUGCAAUCACAAAACCAUUAUAUUACCCCACAACUAAACAGGGGAGAAAGAAGGCGUGCCCAGCAUUGUAAUUCACCCUUAUUAUGUUGGCUAGGGUCAACAAAAGAGGGUGAGCAGUUGAGUAUGCUGCGUCGGCACAAAGUUAAGCACCUAAUCAGGUAGAAAAGACAUCAAAUUAGGUUUUACACUUUAUGGUACUCUGACCUAUGCUAAUCUGAAAUGAUUAUGAAAUUAUGAGUAAGCAAACACCCAAACACAUUAAAUUAAUGAAUACUUUGCAUUUAUUCAGUUAAACAAGAAAGUAUAUAUGCUACAAUGUCACAAAUUAGUAUAAAAUCAUCACAAACACAACACACAAACUACUAAAACAAUAUUUAAGCAAAUGUAAGUUUGGUUUAUACAGAACAACAGAUCCAGUUAAAGUAGAAUAAAAACACUGUAAAAGUAA